Molecule: ribosomal RNA, 1262 nt
Filed under: human oral metagenome
Description: bacterial LSU rRNA
Rfam family: Bacterial large subunit ribosomal RNA
Source: RNAcentral
AAGGCGAGGCCGACAGGCGUAGUCGAUGGAUGACGGGUUGAUAUUCCCGUACCGGCGAAGCACCGCCCAUGCUGACGCGCGGGUGCUAACCCACGCCCGGCCGCCGUGUAGGCCGCGCCUACUCCUUUCGGGGGGUGGUGUGGUUGCGGUGGUGGGGUCUGGGGAUCCUCCGUGCAGGUAGGCAAGCGUGUUAACAGGGGUGACGCACAGUGGUAGCCCGGCGGACCUGAUGGCUUGGUCCGUUCAAGCGCGCAGCCCGUCCUCCAGGUAAAUCCGGGGUGACUGUCUUUGAUGACGGGGGUGAGGCGUGAUGGUGACCUCACGUUGGUGGGGGAUAGCAGGGUGAUCCUGGGGUGCCGAGAAAAGCCUCGACGCGAUGGUGCCAGCCGCCCGUACCCUAAACCGACACAGGUGGUCGGGCAGAGUAUGCCUAGGCGCACGAGUGAAUCAUGGUUAAGGAACUCGGCAAAAUGCCCCCGUAACUUCGGGAGAAGGGGGGCCCGAUCCCUUGAAGCCCCGUGGCGGGCUAGGGGGGUGGGUCGCAGAGGCCAGGGGGAAGCGACUGUUUACUAAAAACACAGGUCCGUGCGAAGCCGUAAGGCGAUGUAUACGGACUGACGCCUGCCCGGUGCUGGAAGGUUAAGAGGAACCAUCAACCCUCGGGUGAAGUGGUGAAUUUAAGCCCCAGUAAACGGCGGUGGUAACUAUAACCAUCCUAAGGUAGCGAAAUUCCUUGUCGGGUAAGUUCCGACCUGCACGAAUGGCGUAACGACUUCCCCGCUGUCUCAACCAUGAGCUCGGCGAAAUUGCAGUACGAGUAAAGAUGCUCGUUUCGCGCAGAAGGACGGAAAGACCCCGGGACCUUUACUACAGCUUGGUAUUGGCGCCCGCUAUAGCUUGUGCAGGAUAGGUGGGAGACUGUGAAGCCGUUACGCCAGUAGCGGUGGAGUCGUCCUUGAAAUACCACUCUGGUUAUGGCGUGCGCCUGAACCUGGGCCCGUGAUCCGGGUUAGGGACAGUGCCUGGUGGGUAGUUUAACUGGGGCGGUUGCCUCCUAAAGUGUAACGGAGGCGCUCAAAGGUUCCCUCAGCCUGGUCGGCAACCAGGUGUUGAGUGCAAGUGCACAAGGGAGCUUGACUGUGAGACCGACGGGUCGAGCAGGUACGAAAGUAGGAACUAGUGAUCCGGCGAUCCCGUGUGGGUGGGUCGUCGCUCAACGGAUAAAAGGUACCCCGGGGAUAACAGGCUGAUCCUGCCCAAGA